Molecule: small RNA, 671 nt
Filed under: Pongo abelii (Sumatran orangutan)
Lineage: Eukaryota; Metazoa; Chordata; Mammalia; Primates; Hominidae
Description: processed transcript
Source: RNAcentral
ACUGAAAGCUUCUUAAGAUUAGUCAGAGGAAGACAAGUGGGAAGGUGUAGACUUCUCACUUCAAUAGUCUGCUAAAGAUGGAGGAAAAAUAUGGUGCUAUUCAAAGACAGUCUAUACUUAAAGAUUUAGAAUUUUGGAUGGAAAUAAUCCGGUGAAAUAGCAAGAACAUUUGAAAGAGAACUUGACAAACCACUGCUGCAGAAAGCUGAAUUCCAAGGAAAUAUGCCCAAUAUCCAUGAAGCUGAGAAAGUUGUUUGCAAAAAGUUUAUGUAAUAUGACUGAAGGUUAUACUAAGAAGGAAGCAUUUCAGAAAUGAUUGAAGCUGGUUAUCUGUGUGCAAAAGCCUGUGAGUGUGUUUGUGUGGGCCUGGGCAAGUGUAUAUGCCUGUGAUUCACACAUCUCUUUUCACAAAGGAUUUGAGGUCACUCAGGAUGUCAUUCAUCCUGGGUAAAAGCCACCUCAGAUUACAAACAGUUAAUAGGUCAGAUGCUACAUAAUGCUCUCUUCAACUUAGAUUUCUUAAAAUCUUACAAGUUGAAGGAGGUGAGAGCCUGGGACUUUUAAUUUGCACUGGGGCAAAAUCAUUCCUUUGUGCUGAAAACAUGUGGCUGACAAGAUGCCACUGGGAAAGCCAAGCUUUUUUAGAAGAAUUUGCUGUAUAAUUCAUAAAG